GUCGAGCGAACGGACGAGAAGCUUGCUUCUCUGAUGUUAGCGGCGGACGGAUGAGUAACACGUGGAUAACCUACCUAUAAGACUGGGAUAACUUCGGGAAACCGGAGCUAAUACCGGAUAAUAUUUUGAACCGCAUGGUUCAAAAGUGAAAGACGGUCUUGCUGUCACUUAUAGAUGGAUCCGCGCUGCAUUAGCUAGUUGGUAAGGUAACGGCUUACCAAGGCAACGAUGCAUAGCCGACCUGAGAGGGUGAUCGGCCACACUGGAACUGAGACACGGUCCAGACUCCUACGGGAGGCAGCAGUAGGGAAUCUUCCGCAAUGGGCGAAAGCCUGACGGAGCAACGCCGCGUGAGUGAUGAAGGUCUUCGGAUCGUAAAACUCUGUUAUUAGGGAAGAACAUAUGUGUAAGUAACUGUGCACAUCUUGACGGUACCUAAUCAGAAAGCCACGGCUAACUACGUGCCAGCAGCCGCGGUAAUACGUAGGUGGCAAGCGUUAUCCGGAAUUAUUGGGCGUAAAGCGCGCGUAGGCGGUUUUUUAAGUCUGAUGUGAAAGCCCACGGCUCAACCGUGGAGGGUCAUUGGAAACUGGAAAACUUGAGUGCAGAAGAGGAAAGUGGAAUUCCAUGUGUAGCGGUGAAAUGCGCAGAGAUAUGGAGGAACACCAGUGGCGAAGGCGACUUUCUGGUCUGUAACUGACGCUGAUGUGCGAAA
This 715-nucleotide ribosomal RNA is filed under the name uncultured Staphylococcus sp. RNAcentral's name for it is "bacterial SSU rRNA". It matches the Rfam family "Bacterial small subunit ribosomal RNA", at positions 61 to 758 of the family's 1533-position model. Lineage: Bacteria; Bacillati; Bacillota; Bacilli; Caryophanales; Staphylococcaceae. The record is from RNAcentral.